GGUGAACCCAGCGAGCAGGAGCCAGUACGUAGCCAUGGCCCAAGCCUCUGCCUGCUGCUGGAGCAUGGCCAGGCCGUCGUCCUAGGGUUGCAGGCUGUGCGGGGGUCCUGGGUCCCACGGAGCCCUGGGAUCUGAGGGACAGGGAUGUUCCUUUUUCUCCCUUUGGAGGUGCAGCCAGUAGUUUGGCUUUACAGGAGGACUCUGUGAAAAGUCCAGUUCCCUAUUUUUAAUCAGGUUCGUUUUUCACCUGCUUAGAAAGUGGAACAUCUCCUGAAAGGUGACAAGUCGUGAUCAAAGGCAAGUCUCCAGGCAGAGAGUUGGCAGGUUUCCGAAGCAAAGGUUACUUAGAAGUGAAGGCUCCACUGCCAGCUUCCCCCCGCUGCAAAAUCUGACACUCCUCACCCUCGGGGUUCAGCAAGAUUCUCGGAAAGGCCUUUUCUGAUUCUAGGAGGUGCUGCAGCAGGAGCUGACUCGGCCAUUUCCUGGCCUCUUUAGUUGGAAGAUGACAGAAAGGCGGAAGCAGGGACUGCUAUUGUGAGGCCCAUGGCAGCCUCCCUGUAAAACAAAUUGGCAAAUUGUCACCUUCAGAGGGACCGCAGCUGGCCCCCUGAACAGCCCUCCUUGGCCUUUCCAGAGUGUACAUGAUUGUGUCCCAUGUCCAGGGAGAGGACAGAGCCACCAGGAGGGACAAGGUUGUGGAGGGAAACAUGGGCUUGUCAGGCAGACUGAAGAGGAGGAUCCUAGGAGACUUUUCUUUCCUGAGAAACCCAAAGAAAGCAACAGCAGAUCUGUAGGGUGUGGGGGAAGGAGGCAGGGGAAAUGUAUUUUCAGUAACAGAGACCUAAAGCAGAAACUAUUUGCAAACAGGUGACCUGCUCAAUUUCUCCUGUGAUCUUUCAUUUCUAGUGCUGGUUUUUCCCCCUCAUUAAAAAAACUCAAUUU
Molecule: long non-coding RNA, 942 nt
Filed under: Pongo abelii (Sumatran orangutan)
Lineage: Eukaryota; Metazoa; Chordata; Mammalia; Primates; Hominidae
Description: lincRNA
Source: RNAcentral